AAGGAAGGAAGGAAAAGCUGUCUUGAUAACUUGUUUUAGAAUGAAGGAGUAGAUAUCAGACACUGACUUGAGACACCAAGGCUGAUGAGCCCAGUGGAUCAAACGGAUGAACAGUUGCUAAACUUUGCUUGUAUCUUGCUUGGCAUCUAUCUCUUCCUGUCCUGCAGCAGCAGCACCCUGGUCCCUGUUAUUAUAAACUGCUCAGGCUAGUUUCCAGUUUUGUUUGGUUUUGGUUUUGGUUUUGGUUUUGCGGUUGCUUUGUCUUGUUUCGUUCGUGACUACUGUCACCCCAGCAAGUUCUGUUUUCUUGGUGAACCCUGAAACAGGCACCCAGGAAAAAAAAAUGUAAAGUCUGUUUGAAGGGACACCAGCUUUCAUCAUGAUCUCUGGAAGAGCUGGAAGGCUCUCCAAGUGGACUGAAGAUCACCCCGGAGGCUAGCGAUGGAGCUCAGGCUUUCCACUCAACAACUCCGUACAUGCCACGGUUCCUGGAGUGGUGCAAAGAGGAAAGAAAUGCAGAAACCAGCAGAAGGAAACAGGAAGUGAUGGGCUGAGCUCCCAGCCACCGUGUGAGAAAGGACAAGGCUCAAAAGCAACAGGGCCAAGCAUCCAUGGAGCCAAAAUAAAGUUAAUUCUCAAAAGCUGACUUCCUACAGUAGUCCGUCAGAAGGACCGGAAGUUGCUAACACAACCUCCACUGAGAGUCGUUGUGUGCUGUUUCUGUUCCCACCCAUCACUGGUUUUACCCAGUCCCACUCAACUCACAAAGUUCCAGUGAGAUGAGACUUACCAACACGUGAUAAAGGUAAGGCGCCAAACUAAACCCCAACGACUGCUGUUUAACAGGCUCGCCUCACCUAGCAAGAGAGAAAGGAGAAGGCCAGGCACCUAAUGUCCCUUUGCACAGCAUGCUCUCGGCAGGCUUCACUUACACUAGGCACCACCUGCUGAAGAUUUCAACACCCAUCAUUAGCGCCACAGGCUGGCGACCAAUCUUGCAACAUCUGGCCUCUGGGGACAUCCACUCAUUCAGAGUAUCUACUGUGUACUAGGGACUGCCUGGGUGCUAGGGCGUGAGGCUCUGUUUUCAUUCUAGAAGUUAAGGUAAGAAGCAAAACACAAAGUGUGUCAGAUACGUACACAAGAGGAUGACAAUCCUGUGCCACCUCGAAGUUAAAACAGCAUGAUAAUAGUAGAUCACUAUGAGGCUGGGAGGUGGGUGGCUGGGCCAGAGAGGGUCGUCAGGAACCAUUCUCCAAAAAGGAAAAUUCCAGCAGAAGUGCGUAGGAGGAAACCAACCCGAAAUGGGAAUGUCUGAGGGAAGAGAGCAAACACGCAGAAAGGCCCUGAAGCAGGAACAGGGACAGACGGAAAGAAAGUAGGUCAACUGUCUCUGGAGAUGGUUUUUAAGUUGAGAAGAGUGUAGAGUAAAUGGAGAGGUUGGCCAGGUUAGGCUAAUGCGUGCAGGUGUGAUGAGGAGUUUGCAGUUUUAUUCUGGUAUCUACGUGAUGGAAACGUACAGCAAGGCCGAAGUAUGAUUGGAUUUUUAAU
Molecule: small RNA, 1551 nt
Filed under: Rattus norvegicus (Norway rat)
Lineage: Eukaryota; Metazoa; Chordata; Mammalia; Rodentia; Muridae
Description: uncharacterized LOC102546604
Source: RNAcentral